AAUGUGCUUUUAGUUCAGAGUUUUCCUUGGUUGGGUGUAUUCUGUCCAAAUCAAAUUGAGCCUAGCCAAGCAGUUCAGUAAGGAUUCAGAAGAUGUGUGGUGUUUUGCUUGUUCCUUCUUAGAUGCAGAGGUUUAAAGAACUGCAUCCUUUCCAAGUUAUUCUGUCCUGCUUUCUGCUUGCUCUCUUUUUGUUCCCUGCUUGCCUCUUUCCCCCAGUCCAUCCAAUACAGAAACUAAAUAACAACAAAAGCAACAGUUUAUUAUUAUUGCUAUUACAUUUAUACCUUCUCAAUCACCACCAUUAUCAUCAAUACUACAGUUAAACCUUGUCUUUCCAUUAGGGUUGCCAUAUUUCAAACAGUGAAAAUCUGGGCAGAAAAGUUGUUGAACUUUUUUCUUCGGCAAAAUAACAAAAAAUGCUGUUUUUGAGCUAUUUUUAUGGAAAAUAGGCAAAAACAGCACUGCUGCCAUGGGCUGCCAUUUGUCCUGGACAUUUUGCCAUUUUCCACCCGGACACUGCUUCUGACUGCUGUUUUCCGGAUAUAUCCCUACAUUACUCCCCGAGGCUUAUGGCAGUACUGUACUGUAUUUAUUUAACUACAUUCAUCAACUGCCAUGAUUCCGUCAUGGAACUAGUCUAGGUGGGAAUACAUGGGGGUUUUCAGGUUGCCUCCCAUCCUGGCAUUGACCGGACUCAAAUUCGCUUAGCUUCAGCAAUGUGGCAACAUCAUGUGCUCUCAUGCCCUGAAACUCACAACCAGAAUUAUAAAAAGAGACCAGGAGAUAGCAGAGAAACCUAAAAAAUGAAAGAUUUUGCAAUAUGAACAGUUUCGGGAGUUUUUCACUGAGUCGGUAGAAGGCUAUCAGGAUAAGUAGGCCCCUCUCAGAAGGGAGUGGCUCAAAAGGGACUCUUCUGUGACCCAGACAAAUCUUGUGCCUCUUCCAUAUUCCUACAAUCAGGAUAUCUUCUGCCUGGUUAAUACACCCAUGAAGAGGAGACUAAACCCCCCCCUUAAAGAUAAUUCUUCUAUAUCCUGGGAAAUAGUUUAUAAUUCAUUUGCAGCAGCCUGUUUCCUUUAAAAAUAAUUGUUUCAACUGGCCCUGAGAUUCAGCUAAUCUGGGUUAUAAAUCAAAGUACCUCUGCAAACAAGCUCCAGUUAUAACACAUGGCAUUGAUUAUAUUUCAUUUAUGUUUAUCCCUUUCAUAGGUUUUAAUCUACAAGACAUAUCACAACAAUGUAAAAAAGUUUUAACUUAAUAGUGUAUUUUAGUAGCUGAGCAGUGAAUCACUUCUUUUAUUUACAUUCCUCCAUUUCCAGAGAAGAUUUAACCUUGCAUCUGUCACAUUAAUAGAUAUUUUUGUGUAUAUAUAACACGAAUAAGCAAACAAUAUAGUUCGGCAAAAACAAAUGUAAAAAUUGGCUAUAGAAGCUGAAUUUCCUUAGCUGCUUGUAGAUCACCUCUAAGUGCACCAUAUGCAAAGUGCUGGCAAAUAUAUGCAGGAUGUCUAAUACAGUUUAUCUGUAGUAACCCAGUUUAUCUGCAUAAAGGCACUUCCAGCUGGAGGGUUUUCCGGGUGUUAGGCACAAAGAUUCAGUGCACCUGAUGCCCAAAAGCCUCAUGGGGAAGUGCCAAACUCUAGCUGAUGUUCAAACAGCAAACUGAGUUCUAGAACGGUAAGUGCAGGUGGUGUAGCCCAAUGGAGUAACCAAAAGUGAUGCCUUUCAGAUGUUGUUAGACUACAACUCCCAUCAUCUCUGACCGUUGACAAAUGUUGGCUGAGGCUGAUGGGAGUUGGAGUCCGAACACCAACUUUUACAGGGCCCUUUGCUGGCUACUUUGUGCUAAAGUUCUAAUUUAGUGUCACGGACAACUCAGUCAUAUGGAAAAGUGUUGUAGGGAUGCAGCCAGCCAGAGUCUUUACAAUUGAGUGGGAUGAAUAAACUGGGCCACAGAGGCUGGAUGGGUAGAUAGAUAGAUGGAUGGAUGGAUGGAUAUUGUAUCUUGCAUGCUCGGUAUAUGGCUUUUUCAGAUUACAAAUCUUAUGAAAACAAAAAGCAAUAUAGUUUUAAAAUGUUCAGAAACCACGAAAGCGGAGCAAGUUACAGCAAUGUAAAAACCGCCCAACAGCUAGUCCAGCAAUCUAAAAAUUUUCUGUGAACAAUAUUCCUUGUUGAGAAUGUUUAUGUUUUUCGUAAGUGUGAAUUGGCAUACUUACCUGUUUUUCUUUAGGCUUUUAUUCGUCGCAGGUUAACAGAUUGCCGCUUUUUUCAACAUUUUUUUUAAACCAUUCUGUUGGCUUCAAUAUGAUUUUGUUUGCUUUAUGCAAUGGUUUUACUUCUGCUACCUAUUCAGAGAAUCUUUCCCAUCCGAUGUUUUGAUAAUCCAUUUACAUUAGGAAAUAAAUUUCUGACUGGGAUAUUAUACCUGAGUGCUCUAUUUGAACCAGAGUUGCUGGUGGCCUACAGGUUUCUUGUGUCGCUCUGCUUUUCUUUAGAUCAAACACAUUCAGUAAUCGGUUAUAGAGCAUUUGAGUAAGUGGGAUUUAGUAUUUGUAAUUCAGUGACAUUCCUCCAAAGUGAGAAAAAUGUCUCAGCAUAAAGAGACAUUUUUUCUCAGCAUAAAGAGACAUGCUUUGAGAGUUACAGUAUCUUACCACAUUUAGUACUUUCAUCCAGCUAAAUUCUACAUCCAGGUUAUACUUUUUGUAUAUAUGUGUAUAUCUCUCUUUCUCAAAUAAAAGCUGCUGUAUCCAUUGUAAAUGCUAAAGGUAGCUAGAGUGAAAUUGCUAGAGGGACAGUAAUUAACAGAGCUUUAAUAGGUUGUCAGUGGGUGUGUUAAUUCUAACAAGCUAAUUACUAUGGGAACAGCAAUCAACACAUGAUAAAACAUAAAGCACCCAAAAGUAAUGAAACAAUUUGUAGAACUUCUUAGUUCUUAUGUUCCCUUUUCAGAGAAGCACAUUAAGAGCACCUUUAUGCAACUGAAUAAAGAGACUUUAAUUCUACAUCCACUCACUGAAUUUUUAACCAAGAUGGUACACAGCUAAGGUUUUUUUUUAAGUGUUACAAAUAGCUUGUCUGUAGCAGCAAAAACAGUGAAGGAUCUUGUGGCACUAUAGAAAGGCCAAUAACUUCAUUAUGACAUAGUCUUCUGUAGACCAGACUUCAGAUGUAAGGUGGGUUCUCAUGUCAUUUCGAAGUUACUGAUCUUUAAGACGGCCUACACACAACAGUUUGGUCCCCUGUCUUUUAGCACUGAUGCGCACUACCUGCAAAGUAUAUGGGCACUGAUGCACACUACCUGCGAAGGAAAUGGCAACCUGUAUGCAUGGCUGGCAGCUAUAUAGAUAACACUUUAACUUUUGGUGUAUGGACAACUGCGAAGUGAUGUGUGCAGAAGUAUUCUUGGGGGUGGAGUGGGGAAGCAAGUGCUGCGCAUUUCAGCCGCUUAGUGUGUACACAGCCUAAGGUGCCAUGUGACUUUGCCGGUCUUUACGGUGCGGUGCUGUAACAUGGUCUUGUUGCUGCUGUAACGUACUACCAUGGCUAGCUAUCCAUCUGCAAAUUGUAACCUUAAAAAUUAGGGUGGUAUUGCCAACUAAAUAAGGUGUACAGUUAGUGCAACAGAAGUCCCCCUCCCAUCUUCUUCCACACACACCCUGGUGCAAAUUCUAGAACAGACUUAGGGGCCUGGGGGUGGGAAAGGGGCAGAAUGUUUCAUGAAACAAGGAUACACUGGCAGAAUGUUCACCUUAGCACUAUACUAAAUAUAGUGCUAUAUACCUUAGGUAUAUUCAGUAUACCUUAGCCGGUGACUUGAUUAUGGCUUACAUGAAUUUAAAUAGAAACCAUCAAAGAGCAAUGCUCCUGAGAUGUCCCUGCCCCCCAAGUGGUGGAAUUCCAGUUCAUUGUAAAGACAGACAAGCAUUCUUCUACAUCAUCUGGUAGAUGUUGAAUCUACCAGACAUCUCCAGAUAUUAGUGGAUUUGUUAGUUAGUUAGUUUUUUUACAAAACCAAAAGCAAUGCCCAUGUUCUAUGAAAUAAUAAAUAGUGAAAUGUGUGAACUUUGGCCAUGCCAGCUGAGGCUGAUGAGAGUUGUAGCCCAAAGCUUCUUCCGGAGGGUACCAGUCUGUGAAAGUCGAUUCUACGUGGUAAUGGCUGUCAUUUCAGUGGGCAUUCCUAGACAUCUGUUUUCUGGAUGGCAAGACAACACUUCUUCCACACUUAGAAUGUCUGUCUCUUGUCACCCUCAGUUGCUCUCUUAUUUCCUCCUUCCUCCAGAAAGCUGACUCUUCAGGUUUCUUGCUCGUUUAAGGUAAUUUAGUUGGAGAGAAUGCCAGCUAAUUGUCUGGCAUAAAUAGCCCUGUGCAAAUUAGCCAUCUGCGUGAGAAGCGGCACCUGAAUGCUGCUGUGAAAGAGCACUAAUUUUUAAUUUGGGUAUUCACUGGGGAAAUGUUGCCAGAGUUGGGUUCAGGCACUCGCUCAGCGUGAACUAUAGCCUUCCUAAACACACCAUGAGCUAAUGUAACAUGGAGGCGUUCAUGUGGGAAAUUAAAAAGUCAGAUGGACGAAUGAUGCAGCUUUGAGAACUCAAUAAAAACUUAUUACCUACUAGAGUGAUCCUAAUAUCCCAGUGAUAGAAAUGCCGGUGGUAUUGCAAUGGCAGCAGGAGAUUUUCUUUCCUUGUAUUUUGCAUGUGUGUGUGAGAGAGAGGGAAUUUUUCAGAAGAGAUUAGAAUUUAAUUUCCUUCUGGAUAUAGUUAGAUUUAAAUGGAAAUGUCCCUCUUUUGCCCUUUCACAAAAUGCCUUGGUUCCCUAGUUGUACUCGUCAACCCUUAAGCAAUAUGGGGAGCGUAAGUGCACUUAAUAUUUGGCAAAAUUCAGGGCAGUAGUGAGAAUAGUGGUUUAGGCCUCUUAUGACCCUCAUUAAAACCAUCUCUUAUGUGGAGUGAUGGGAAAGAACAAAAGAAUUAAUUGUCUUCUGCUAGUAUGUGAACAUUGCUAACGUGGGCAGAUGCAGUCACACAGACAGCACUGGGAACAGAUUUGGUAAAAUAUAAAAGGUUUAGACUGCUAAAUUAGAUUGAAGGUCCAUUUAGUCCUCAUCCGAAAGAGGUCUAUAAGCAGAACAUGAAGGCAGCAUCCCUCCUUGGUUGUAUGUCCCCAGCAUUUGGUGUUCAGGAGGUAUAUGCAUCUGCCCAUGGAUGUUUUAUGUAUCUACGGUAAUUUGCCUAAUAGGCCAGGAUACCUCAUGCAAAGCACAAGGCUUUGUUUUAUUUCUAGGGUCUUUCAUGAGUAUCAGAGCCUUUUGAGACCACUUCACUCAAAACUGAAGUUUGAAAGCUACAUGUUAUGCUUCUAGUCAGGGAAACAAUACUCAAAGGAGGAGAAUAACAAAAUGUAAAUAUUAACGCUGCAUAUAUUGUACAUGACCAAGUGCCUCAGACUGAUUGUGCCUGAUGCACAGUUUCUUGUUUGCUCUGGAGGGGUAAGAUUUUAAUAGAAGUACCCAAAAUGGGGGGGGGGGGAGGCAGUUAACGACUUCUUUUAAGGCAGUGGUCCUCAACCUUGGGUCUGCAGAUGAUGUUGGACUAUAACAGGGAUGAUAGAAGUUAUAGUCUAACAACAUGUGGGAUGAACAUUUCAUACUACAGUAUUUGUGACUAGAGAAAGGUCAGUUGGUAGCACUCAAUUUAUUUCAUUUCAGAAGGAAAUAGUUAUGGAAAUCUUCAGACGUGUUUGAAAGAACUCUCAGUAAAAUGACAUGACGAACAUGGAAAGAUCUGUUGGGGGGAGCAGGAAAUCACUGGGGUAUGGAAGACAUUUGCCAUGUGUUUUGGGAAGCUUCCCUUUCCCUUUCCAGCCUGUGUUAGCAAAUAGAUAAUAGGCUGGGCAUACAAAUUUACUAUCUGAGCAUACAUCACGCAUGUAGCUUUCAAAAGUAUGAGCUUGUCUCUUUGAGCUUUCCAGAGUUACAGGCGUUCAAUACACCCAUACCCUUUGUGCUGAAUCAGGGUCAUUGUGACUGGUGGCAUUUCCUAGCUGAUUAUGAAGAGCGUGUGAACAAGAAGAGGGCUAAUGUCUGCCUAAUGUCUCUCCAGAGGAGUCUCAGGUCAAAUCAGCCACCUGUGUGACUAUGUAAACAAUUGCUUAUGUCUAUUUGCCAUUGGUUUUCAGCUAAAUCUGUGUCUGGUUCCAUUCUUUUUAUAGUUUGUAUGGAUUGCUUGUCUAGAACUAAUUGCACUUACUUUCCCAUUCAUUAGUUUAUAUCCAAGCCUCAGCAGAGGAAUUUCUGUGGGAGUUACUUGUUGAAGACCGCUCGGCUUCAAGACAAUUAUAGAGCACCUGUCAAGGUUGCUAGUCCUACAAGCCUUUAUGAUACACUAUAAUCUGGAAGUUGUGGAUUAGUCUCCCAAGUGGUGUUGGGUAAGGAGUUAUCUCCUGCUUUCAGCACAAGGUCUUUGGACCAGCCUGGCUCCAAACUUCUUGUAAAAGGGAACAUAUCACUGACUGCUAAGACUCGUUUUCCCCCCAUUGCCGAUAAGAGCAUUGAACU
This 6558-nucleotide long non-coding RNA is filed under the name Podarcis lilfordi (Lilford's wall lizard). The record is from RNAcentral. Lineage: Eukaryota; Metazoa; Chordata; Lepidosauria; Squamata; Lacertidae.